RNAcentral lists this ribosomal RNA (492 nucleotides) under uncultured bacterium. RNAcentral describes it as "partial 16S ribosomal RNA". It matches the Rfam family "Bacterial small subunit ribosomal RNA", at positions 29 to 507 of the family's 1533-position model. The record is from RNAcentral.
AGUGAACGCUGGCGGUAGGCCUAACACAUGCAAGUCGAACGGCAGCACAGUAAGAGCUUGCUCUUACGGGUGGUGAGUGGAGGACGGGUGAGGAAUACAUCGGAAUCUACUUUUUCGUGGGGGAUAACGUAGGGAAACUUACGCUAAUACCGCAUACGACCUACGGGUGAAAGCAGGGGAUCUUCGGACCUUGCGCGAUUGAAUGAGCCGAUGUCGGAUUAGCUAGUUGGCGGGGGAAAGGCCCACCAAGGCGACGAUCCGUAGCUGGUCUGAGAGGAUGAUCAGCCACACUGGAACUGAGAAACGGUCCAGACUCCUACGGGAGGCAGCAGUGGGGAAUAUUGGACAAUGGGCGCAAGCCUGAUCCAGCCAUACCGCGUGGGUGAAGAAGGCCUUCGGGUUGUAAAGCCCUUUUGUUGGGAAAGAAAAGCAGCAGGUUAAUACCCCGCUGUUAUGACGGUACCCAAAGAAUAAGCACCGGCUAACUUCGUG